RNAcentral lists this ribosomal RNA (1017 nucleotides) under uncultured organism. RNAcentral's name for it is "bacterial SSU rRNA". It matches the Rfam family "Bacterial small subunit ribosomal RNA", at positions 355 to 1375 of the family's 1533-position model. The record is from RNAcentral.
UGAGGAAUAUUGGUCAAUGGACGAGAGUCUGAACCAGCCAAGUAGCGUGAAGGAUGACUGCCCUAUGGGUUGUAAACUUCUUUUAUACGGGAAUAAAGUGAGGCACGUGUGCCUUUUUGUAUGUACCGUAUGAAUAAGGAUCGGCUAACUCCGUGCCAGCAGCCGCGGUAAUACGGAGGAUCCGAGCGUUAUCCGGAUUUAUUGGGUUUAAAGGGAGCGUAGGCGGACGCUUAAGUCAGUUGUGAAAGUUUGCGGCUCAACCGUAAAAUUGCAGUUGAUACUGGGUGUCUUGAGUACAGUAGAGGCAGGCGGAAUUCGUGGUGUAGCGGUGAAAUGCUUAGAUAUCACGAAGAACUCCGAUUGCGAAGGCAGCUUGCUGGACUAUAACUGACGCUGAUGCUCGAAAGUGUGGGUAUCAAACAGGAUUAGAUACCCUGGUAGUCCACACAGUAAACGAUGAAUACUCGCUGUUUGCGAUAUACAGUAAGCGGCCAAGCGAAAGCGUUAAGUAUUCCACCUGGGGAGUACGCCGGCAACGGUGAAACUCAAAGGAAUUGACGGGGGCCCGCACAAGCGGAGGAACAUGUGGUUUAAUUCGAUGAUACGCGAGGAACCUUACCCGGGCUUGAAUUGCAACUGAAUGAUGUGGAGACAUGUCAGCCGCAAGGCAGUUGUGAAGGUGCUGCAUGGUUGUCGUCAGCUCGUGCCGUGAGGUGUCGGCUUAAGUGCCAUAACGAGCGCAACCCUUAUCGAUAGUUACCAUCAGGUUAUGCUGGGGACUCUGUCGAGACUGCCGUCGUAAGAUGUGAGGAAGGUGGGGAUGACGUCAAAUCAGCACGGCCCUUACGUCCGGGGCUACACACGUGUUACAAUGGGGGGUACAGAAGGCAGCUACACGGCGACGUGAUGCUAAUCCCGAAAGCCUCUCUCAGUUCGGAUUGGAGUCUGCAACCCGACUCCAUGAAGCUGGAUUCGCUAGUAAUCGCGCAUCAGCCACGGCGCGGUGAAUACGUUCCC